GGGGUUGUGGCUCAGCAGUAGAGCGUUCGUCUAGCACAUGGGAGGCCCUGGGUUCGAUUCUCAACACCA
Molecule: transfer RNA, 69 nt
Filed under: Ictidomys tridecemlineatus (thirteen-lined ground squirrel)
Lineage: Eukaryota; Metazoa; Chordata; Mammalia; Rodentia; Sciuridae
Description: Spermophilus tridecemlineatus (thirteen-lined ground squirrel) tRNA
Rfam family: tRNA
About the family: Transfer RNA (tRNA) molecules are approximately 80 nucleotides in length. Their secondary structure includes four short double-helical elements and three loops (D, anti-codon, and T loops). Further hydrogen bonds mediate the characteristic L-shaped molecular structure. tRNAs have two regions of fundamental functional importance: the anti-codon, which is responsible for specific mRNA codon recognition, and the 3' end, to which the tRNAs corresponding amino acid is attached (by aminoacyl-tRNA synthetases). tRNAs cope with the degeneracy of the genetic code in two manners: having more than one tRNA (with a specific anti-codon) for a particular amino acid; and 'wobble' base-pairing, i.e. permitting non-standard base-pairing at the 3rd anti-codon position.
Source: Rfam by way of RNAcentral